Molecule: small RNA, 69 nt
Filed under: Chryseobacterium soldanellicola
Lineage: Bacteria; Pseudomonadati; Bacteroidota; Flavobacteriia; Flavobacteriales; Weeksellaceae
Description: Flavo-1 RNA
Rfam family: Flavo-1 RNA
Source: RNAcentral
CUAUAGCCCCGAUUGCAGUAGAAAUCCUUUUUUUGAGAAAAAAGAUUGGAGCGAAAAGCGGGAAAAAGC